GUGCAGUGAUGACAGCUGAUAUUUGCUAUCUGAUGAUUCUGAUGUCAAAAAAUCUACCACCUAGAUCUCUGAGCAC
Molecule: non-coding RNA, 76 nt
Organism: Lingula anatina
Lineage: Eukaryota; Metazoa; Brachiopoda; Lingulata; Lingulida; Lingulidae
Source: Rfam